Non-coding RNA from Vicia faba (fava bean), 240 nucleotides. Lineage: Eukaryota; Viridiplantae; Streptophyta; Magnoliopsida; Fabales; Fabaceae. The record is from the annotation of a GenBank genome assembly.
AUGUUGUUUGUUUUUUUCUAUUUUUAUGCAAUUUUGGAUGUUUGGACUGGUUAUGGGUGUAGGUUUUGGAUUGGUCAUGUAGUGGUGCAGGGACCUGUUUUCAAUAACAUGUUCUUGGCUUAUUGUGGACAACAACAUGACAUGGUUUAUUGCAAGUUUGUUUGCAGCUUUAAUGAACUGCUUUUGUGUGGCUUGGCAGGUUUUGUAGGUUAUUUUUGUGCAGGUUUAGGAGUGACUUGA